GACAGAGGGGGCAAGCGUUGCUCGGAAUCACUGGGCGUAAAGGGCGCGUAGGCGGGAUGGCAAGUCAGUCGUGAAAUCUCUCGGCUCAACCGAGAAACGUCGGCUGAUACUGCCGUUCUUGAGGGAUGCAGAGGAGACUGGAAUUCCCGGUGUAGCGGUGAAAUGUGUAGAGAUCGGGACGAACACCGGUGGCGAAGGCGGGUCUCUGGGCAUUUCCUGACGCUGAGGCGCGAAAGCGUGGGGAGCAAACGGG
RNAcentral lists this ribosomal RNA (253 nucleotides) under uncultured bacterium. Its description in RNAcentral is "partial 16S ribosomal RNA". It matches the Rfam family "Bacterial small subunit ribosomal RNA", at positions 524 to 776 of the family's 1533-position model. The record is from RNAcentral.